This 497-nucleotide ribosomal RNA is filed under the name uncultured bacterium. RNAcentral's name for it is "partial 16S ribosomal RNA". It matches the Rfam family "Bacterial small subunit ribosomal RNA", at positions 28 to 507 of the family's 1533-position model. The record is from RNAcentral.
GAUGAACGCUGGCGGCGUGCCUAAUACAUGCAACUCGAGCGAACAGACGAGGAGCUUGCUCCUCUGACGUUAGCGGCGGACGGGUGCGUAACACGUGGAUAACCUACCUAUAAGACUGGGAUAACUUCGGGAAACCGGAGCUAAUACCGGAUAAUAUAUUGAACCGCAUGGUUCAAUAGUGAAAGACGGUUUUGCUGUCACUUAUAGAUGGAUCCGCGCCGCAUUAGCUAGUUGGUAAGGUAACGGCUUACCAAGGCAACGAUGCGUAGCCGACCUGAGAGGGUGAUCGGCCACCCUGGAACUGAGACACGCUCCAGACUCCUACGGGAGGCAGCAGCAGGGAAUCUUGCGCAAUGGGCGAAAGCCUGACGGAGCAACGCCGCGUGAGUGAUGAAGGUCUUCGGAUCGUAAAACUCUGUUAUUAGGGAAGAACAAAUGUGUAAGUAACUAUGCACGUCUUGACGGUACCUAAUCAGAAAGCCAGGGCUAACUACGUG